CUAUAAAUACUGACAUCAGGGGCACUGUAGUACCAAAUAUGAACACCAGGCUUAUAUUUUCCCCUCAGCGCAAGGCGGGAUAAAUAUAGGCCUCAUAUUUAUCUGUUUGAUGCGGUAAUGCAAACAGUCUCCAAUUGAAAGAUAUGAAAGUUUCAAAAACGUUCACCAUUUUGUUAUUUAUUAAAAUCUUAACUAUAUAUAUAUAUAUAUAUAUAUAUAUUCAUCAUUGUAAAUUAUCUUUAUACUAUAAAUAUAAUCCAAUUACUUAUCCAAUUACAAAUAUAAAUUAUGGUAAAGUCAAAAUUUAAAAUGAGAAAUAUUAAUUCUGUGGGUCUAAUAAAAUCUUGCAAGCUUUGCCAGAAAACAACAACUCAAAUGCCUAACAAAAUGUAGAAAAUAAACUAAUAAAGUAAGCUUGAUUUGAUGACACUGGAGUAUAUAUCACCCAGACAUAAUACCUGCCCUGGUAGUCAUGUAGUUGCACUCUGCACUCGCCAUGUGUCCCUAGACCCAAGAGGGGGUGAAAGCCUCUCUUACUCUCAUUUAGAGUAGAAAAAUGGAUUUUGACAAUUUCAAAAAGUUUAGAGCAGGUUGGGGUUCUUUAUGAAUUUUCUAGAAAUUUCCUGUAGUCCACCCUUUGAUCACCUCAUGGAUGCCUGUGGUUCCCCCUUUGUGUUUUUAUCAGUCGAAACUAACUGUUUUGAUGAGAGAAAUGCUUUUCAACAAUUUUCACAAAGUUUACAGUGGUUUGGGGCAGUUUUUGAAUUUUAAAAAAUUUCCUGUCGAAACUGUUUUGAUGAGAGAAAUGGUUCAAUUAUCAGAAAGUAUGGACAAGGGAACACGCCAGAAAUACUUGUGUAAAUUUAUACUAACCUUUUAAUUACAUGUAAAUGUUUUCAAUUUUCAUCGGCCGCCAUUUUGAAUGUUGAAAGCGG
Paramuricea clavata is the source of this 935-nucleotide non-coding RNA. Lineage: Eukaryota; Metazoa; Cnidaria; Anthozoa; Malacalcyonacea; Plexauridae. The record is from the annotation of a GenBank genome assembly.